Molecule: ribosomal RNA, 421 nt
Filed under: Akanthomyces sp.
Lineage: Eukaryota; Fungi; Ascomycota; Sordariomycetes; Hypocreales; Cordycipitaceae
Description: partial large subunit ribosomal RNA
Rfam family: Eukaryotic large subunit ribosomal RNA
Source: RNAcentral
GCUUUUGGCGAGGUGCCUUCCGAGUUCCCUGGAACGGGACGCCAUAGAGGGUGAGAGCCCCGUCUGGUCGGACACCGAGCCUCUGUAAAGCUCCUUCGACGAGUCGAGUAGUUUGGGAAUGCUGCUCAAAAUGGGAGGUAUAUGUCUUCUAAAGCUAAAUAUUGGCCAGAGACCGAUAGCGCACAAGUAGAGUGAUCGAAAGAUGAAAAGCACUUUGAAAAGAGGGUUAAAAAGUACGUGAAAUUGUUGAAAGGGAAGCGCCUAUGACCAGACUUGGGCCCGGUGAAUCAUCCAGCGUUCUCGCUGGUGCACUUUGCCGGGCACAGGCCAGCAUCAGUUUGGCGCGGGGGAAAAAGGCUUUGGGAAUGUGGCUCCCUCGGGAGUGUUAUAGCCCAUUGUGUAAUACCCUGCGCCGGACUGA